This is a long non-coding RNA of Cyanistes caeruleus (blue tit), 1008 nucleotides long. RefSeq lists it as uncharacterized. The record is from RefSeq and is a predicted model, not a curated record. NCBI's taxonomy places the organism in Eukaryota, Metazoa, Chordata, Aves, Passeriformes, Paridae.
AAGCUGAACCUCUAAUGAGCCAUAAUGGCUCAUUAUUGUGUGGAUGCAUUUACUUCUUCAUAAGUUUUAUGAUGCAAAGUACCACAGUGGGCUUGUUCUAUGAGCAUUUAACAGGAAUCCCUCCUCACCUGGAAGAGCCAGCCACAGAGCUUUCUGGCACUGCUGCCCUCAGUCAGUGGCCACCAGUGCCAUGUUGCUGACAGUGCCACUCUGCAGGCUGGUUUGAUGUGCCAGACAUCCAUGUGCAUCCCAGCUGCUCCCUCCUGCUGCUGCCCCUGGACACAGCUGGGCCAGUCCUGCUUGUACAAGCCAUGCCAUCAAUUUGCUGAGGACAGCCCCAGGGUGGUGCACUUGGAAGGAAACCCAGCCUGCCUUCACUGCUGCUUCCCUCCUCCUCAAAGGGGAGUGAGCCAAUCGUCAGUAUCAGGACUGGAAGGAGGAAAGAGCUCCCUUUUCCCCACUCAGGAGGAGGGAGUGAAAGGGGAAGGAGUUUGUUCUGAUUACUCCCGUGUGGGAGAGACCUGCAGCUCCAGCUCACCUUGCUAACACUCUGUCAGUGUUGACAUCUACACAACUCCUCAGAGGUGGUUUUUCAUAAGUCAUACUUCCAAAUACAAAUAAUUUUAAAUAGUUCUGUGGAUUGCUGAGAAUUUUAAGGCCUUUGAAGCCACAUACCAGCCCUGUCUCACAGCUCCCCCAGGCAGCCUGGUGUGGUCCUCAGGCACUCUGGGGUGAGGAAGGGGCAGUUCCUGACAUCCUGUUGGGUUGGUGCUUCCAGAUUCCACAGGAGAGGUCUCUAAGGCAUGGUGACUGUGUGUUUGCAGGGCGGGGAAACUCCUACCCCUGCAUCAAAAUCCAGCUGUGCAACAAGAAAGGAAUGGAUAGAUUAGGCAGCCCAAAAGUUUUCUUUUGGUUAAAUAUGUUCUGGUUCUCUUCUCUGGGGGAUGUCACAAGGAAGUGCAGAGCACUUUCUCUCAAAUGAAUAUUCAAUAAAAUUGUUUGGUGGUG